GUAAUCACUUUGAAAAUACAUAUACUAAAAAUUGGAGCAAUAUGGAGAAGAUUAGCAUGACCCCUACCAAAGGAUGACAUGUAAAUUCACGAAAAAUUGGAUAUUAAA
Molecule: small nuclear RNA, 108 nt
Organism: Meriones unguiculatus (Mongolian gerbil)
Lineage: Eukaryota; Metazoa; Chordata; Mammalia; Rodentia; Muridae
Source: Ensembl